AUCGCUUCUCGGCCUUUUGGCUAAGAUCAAGUGUAGUAUCUGUUCUUAUCAGUUUAAAAUAGAGAAGCAACACUUUUUAAUGUUGCUAGCUUUAAAAUUUUUUACUAAAU
Molecule: small nuclear RNA, 110 nt
Filed under: Myotis lucifugus (little brown bat)
Lineage: Eukaryota; Metazoa; Chordata; Mammalia; Chiroptera; Vespertilionidae
Description: U2 spliceosomal RNA
Rfam family: U2 spliceosomal RNA
About the family: U2 is a small nuclear RNA (snRNA) component of the spliceosome (involved in pre-mRNA splicing). Complementary binding between U2 snRNA (in an area lying towards the 5' end but 3' to hairpin I) and the branchpoint sequence (BPS) of the intron results the bulging out of an unpaired adenosine, on the BPS, which initiates a nucleophilic attack at the intronic 5' splice site, thus starting the first of two transesterification reactions that mediate splicing.
Source: Rfam by way of RNAcentral